GAAAUGCGAUAAGUAGUGUGAAUUGCAGAAUUCAGUGAAUCAUCGAAUCUUUGAACGCACAUUGCGCCACUCGGUAUUCCGUGGGGCAUGCCUGUUCGAGCGUCAUCUACACCCUCAAGCUCUGCUUGGUGUUGGGCGUCUGUCCCGCCUCCUUCGCGCGCGGACUCGCCCCAAAUCCAUUGGCGGCGGCCCUUGCCUCCCUCUCGCGCAGCACAUUGCGCUUCUCGAGGCGCGGCGGACCGCGUCCAGCAAGCAACCGUCACACCGUCUUUGACCUCGGAUCAGGUAGGGAUACCCGCUGAACUUAAGC
RNAcentral lists this unclassified non-coding RNA (310 nucleotides) under plant metagenome. Its description in RNAcentral is "partial contains 5.8S ribosomal RNA, internal transcribed spacer 2, and large subunit ribosomal RNA". The stretch from base 1 to 105 matches the Rfam family "5.8S ribosomal RNA", at positions 50 to 154 of the family's 154-position model. The record is from RNAcentral.